AUUUGAAGGGGGUAGUUUUCUUUGUCGUUGUUUAUAUGUUGUACCAGUUGCAGUGAAGAGCCGCUAAACUCAUAUUAUAUUAGAAAUGUUUUAAAAAGGGAUUUGAAAAGCAGAUUUUUUCCCGCAUGACUGUCUGUGAUGGGUGGGACAGAUGGGUGGAGGCUCUGAGAGGAUGCCCACCCACACCUGUUGGGCACAGAGGUGUUGAUCCAGUUGGUGAAAGAACAAAGGAUUAGGUCUCUACUUUAACAGAGAGAUUUCCUCUAUGCAUACAGAUGGCGUGUGUGUGUUUCUUCAGCGACUUCGUUGCAUUACCUAUUGAGUCAGCUCUCUUCUGAGUCAUCCGUUUCAAGGUUGCCUAGUGACAGCGGCAGUGAAAAUGUUUCCUAUUGCGCAUUCGCUGAUGCCUGGCACCAAUAUUUAUUCAAGCACUGCAGUAAGAGGGCAGGAGAAAAUAAUUCAUACAUUUUCAGAUGAUUGCAUGGAUGUUUGGCCAUCUGUAAAAAUAAAUAAAUAAAU
This is a long non-coding RNA of Myxocyprinus asiaticus (Chinese sucker), 519 nucleotides long. RefSeq lists it as uncharacterized. The record is from RefSeq and is a predicted model, not a curated record. The transcript has 2 exons. Lineage: Eukaryota; Metazoa; Chordata; Actinopteri; Cypriniformes; Catostomidae.